Teleopsis dalmanni is the source of this 340-nucleotide long non-coding RNA. RefSeq lists it as uncharacterized. The record is from RefSeq and is a predicted model, not a curated record. Lineage: Eukaryota; Metazoa; Arthropoda; Insecta; Diptera; Diopsidae. The transcript has 2 exons.
UUGAAAUUGUGUUUAAUGUAAAACGAAAAAAUAUUACUCGUAAUGCGUGUGGAACCAUAAAACUAUGGGAGGAAAAUCUUCUUUGAUGAAAAAGGUGAAACAGGUUUUUAGUAACCGCGUCCGAAGUGCAAACAAAAGUGCACUUCACCCAACAUUUUAGAAAGAAUCAGCAAUGUAUUGUGAUUUUCAACGGAGCCCCCGUCAUCGUGGAAGUUUGUCAAUAACGUGUAUAGAAUUUUGGAGAACUUGCCUAUUGACAACACCUUCGAAUUAAUUUCUGAUAGUCAUCCUCACUGUUACUGUCAGCGUCGUCAACAUUAUCGUCAACAUCUUUGAAGUC